ACGAAGGGGGCGAGCGUUGUUCGGAUUUACUGGGCGUAAAGGGCGCGUAGGCGGCCGGUCAAGUCGCGUGUGAAAGCCCCGGGCUCAACCUGGGAAUGGCGCUCGAGACUGGCGGGCUGGAGUUCGGGAGAGGAGAGUGGAAUUCCCAGUGUAGAGGUGAAAUUCGUAGAUAUUGGGAAGAACACCGGUGGCGAAGGCGGCUCUCUGGACCGAGACUGACGCUGAGGCGCGAAAGCGUGGGGAGCAAACAGGA
This 253-nucleotide ribosomal RNA is filed under the name uncultured prokaryote. RNAcentral's name for it is "partial 16S ribosomal RNA". It matches the Rfam family "Bacterial small subunit ribosomal RNA", at positions 525 to 777 of the family's 1533-position model. The record is from RNAcentral.